Small nuclear RNA from Ochotona princeps (American pika), 107 nucleotides. The record is from RefSeq and is a predicted model, not a curated record. NCBI's taxonomy places the organism in Eukaryota, Metazoa, Chordata, Mammalia, Lagomorpha, Ochotonidae.
GUGCUUGCUUCAGUAGUACACAUACUAAAAUUGGGACGAUACAGAGAAGAUCAGCAUGGCCCCUGCACAAGGAUGACAUGCAAAUUCAUAAAGCGUUCCAUAUUUUU